CAAUUAUGUUGCAAUUUUGUGUUUUCCUGUUGCAACAAGUCACAAGAAACCAACUAUAAAAAAACAGAGACCCAAAUGCAAACGGCAGAUUGUGAGACGGGCAUCAAUACUUCACUCACAGCAUUGGUCUAAAAUGAAGUCGGUGGUAGUUUUUCUGCUUCUUCUCGUGGUCAGUCAAGGUGAUGCUUUGAAAUGCAACUGUGGAGGACUGAAGAUUUGCUCCAGUGGUCCAGUGGAAACCUGUCAGGGUUCAAUGAGCUCUGCGGCAGCGUCAUCAUCACGGCUGGAGCUACCCCAAACUUCUUCAAGGGCUGCAUGUCUGCCUCCCAGUGUGCUGCUCUUAAUCGGCCUGGUAUAUCAUCUGCUUUCUGCUGCAGGAGUGACCUGUGCAACAAAUAAAAUCCAGUCAUUCUGUCCAUGUGCUCAUUAUAAUACAGUACAUGUGUCAUUGGAGAAAAUGUCAAUAAAGACUUGUUAAUUAUCAAGCACAUCAUUUCCAAGUUUGAUUACUUUGUAUUCUGUUUGUGAACAUUUCUGCACCCUGAAGAGUAC
This 552-nucleotide long non-coding RNA is filed under the name Neogobius melanostomus (round goby). Its description in RNAcentral is "lncRNA (ENSNMLG00000009548.1)". Lineage: Eukaryota; Metazoa; Chordata; Actinopteri; Gobiiformes; Gobiidae. The record is from RNAcentral.